RNAcentral lists this ribosomal RNA (372 nucleotides) under Wenyingozyma naganishii. Its description in RNAcentral is "eukaryotic LSU rRNA". It matches the Rfam family "Eukaryotic large subunit ribosomal RNA", at positions 263 to 657 of the family's 3401-position model. The record is from RNAcentral. Lineage: Eukaryota; Fungi; Ascomycota; Pichiomycetes; Pichiales; Pichiaceae.
AGUCGAGUUGUUUGGGAAUGCAGCUCAAAGUGGGUGGUAAAUUCCAUCUAAAGCUAAAUAUUGGCGAGAGACCGAUAGCGAACAAGUACUGUGAAGGAAAGAUGAAAAGAACUUUGAAAAGAGAGUGAAAAAGUACGUGAAAUUGUUGAAAGGGAAGGGUAUUCGAUCANACUGGUAUUUAGUUAUCUUUGCUCCUUGUGGGUGAGGCUCUAACUUUUUACUGGGCCAACAUCAGUUUUGGUGGCGAGAUAAUGACAUUAGAAUGUAACUCCUUCUGGAGUAUUAUAGCUCUUGUUGAUAUCGCCUACCGGGACUGAGGUCUGCGGCUUUGCCUAGGAUGUUGGCGUAAUGAUCCAAUACCGCCCGUCUUGA